RNAcentral lists this unclassified non-coding RNA (224 nucleotides) under plant metagenome. Its description in RNAcentral is "partial contains small subunit ribosomal RNA, internal transcribed spacer 1, and 5.8S ribosomal RNA". The record is from RNAcentral.
CCUCCGUUGGUGAACCAGCGGAGGGAUCAUUACAGGACUCGCAAGACUCCUUCACCCUGUGAACCUCACUACAAGCACGUUGCUUCGGCGGGUGUCCCGGCGGGGGUUUUCCCUCGCCGGGGCGCACAGCCCGCCGGCAGCCUACUAUACUCUGUCUCUUUGCGUUGGCAUCUCGAGAAAAAACAAACAAGUUAAAACUUUCAACAACGGAUCUCUUGGUUCUG